Molecule: ribosomal RNA, 465 nt
Filed under: Vreelandella stevensii
Lineage: Bacteria; Pseudomonadati; Pseudomonadota; Gammaproteobacteria; Oceanospirillales; Halomonadaceae
Description: partial 16S ribosomal RNA
Rfam family: Bacterial small subunit ribosomal RNA
Source: RNAcentral
CCUACGGGAGGCAGCAGUGGGGAAUAUUGGACAAUGGGGGGAACCCUGAUCCAGCCAUGCCGCGUGUGUGAAGAAGGCCCUCGGGUUGUAAAGCACUUUCAGUGAGGAAGAACGCCUGGUGGUUAAUACCCAUCAGGAAAGACAUCACUCACAGAAGAAGCACUGGCUAACUCCGUGCCAGCAGCCGCGGUAAUACGGAGGGUGCGAGCGUUAAUCGGAAUUACUGGGCGUAAAGCGCGCGUAGGUGGCUUGAUAAGCCGGUUGUGAAAGCCCCGGGCUCAACCUGGGAACGGCAUCCGGAACUGUCAAGCUAGAGUGCAGGAGAGGAAGGUAGAAUUCCCGGUGUAGCGGUGAAAUGCGUAGAGAUCGGGAGGAAUACCAGUGGCGAAGGCGGCCUUCUGGACUGACACUGACACUGAGGUGCGAAAGCGUGGGUAGCAAACAGGAUUAGAUACCCGAGUAGUC